Molecule: ribosomal RNA, 301 nt
Filed under: uncultured bacterium
Lineage: Bacteria
Description: partial 16S ribosomal RNA
Rfam family: Bacterial small subunit ribosomal RNA
Source: RNAcentral
CAGUAGCCGCGGGAAUACGUAGGGUGCAAGCGUUGUCCGGAAUUAUUGGGCGUAAAGAGCUCGUAGGCGGUUUGUCGCGUCUGCUGUGAAAUCCCGAGGCUCAACCUCGGGCUUGCAGUGGGUACGGGCAGACUAGAGUGCGGUAGGGGAGAUUGGAAUUCCUGGUGUAGCGGUGGAAUGCGCAGAUAUCAGGAGGAACACCGAUGGCGAAGGCAGAUCUCUGGGCCGUAACUGACGCUGAGGAGCGAAAGCGUGGGGAGCGAACAGGAUUAGAUACCCCAGUAGUCCCUGUCUCUUAUAU